Molecule: long non-coding RNA, 4112 nt
Filed under: Gossypium barbadense (sea-island cotton)
Lineage: Eukaryota; Viridiplantae; Streptophyta; Magnoliopsida; Malvales; Malvaceae
Description: long non-coding RNA (GBAR_LNC006065)
Source: RNAcentral
CACAGCAUUUUCUUUUAAAGCACAUUGCCCUUUCUUCCACUCCUUUUUCUCUUUGAGAAACCAUCCAUGGCCUCAUUCUAGAUUUCAAAUGCUAUUAUCACAUGAUGGUAUCGAGUACGUAUGGCAGCUGCAACGACAACGGUGAUGACGAUGAGGAUGGUGAUGAACAUGCAAAUGAACGAUGAUGGUUAAACUUGUAGCAGGUGUUUAAUCAGUUGGGCAACUAAAGACCCUUUGGCAGUUCAUCUAGAAUGGGGGAACAUUAUGCCUCAAGCAUAGUAGUAAACAAGCUUAACCAGUUAAGUUAUUUCUCUCUACAUUCAAAGGGAACAUUCAUCUGUUUUCUUUCUACUUGUAUGCUUGAGCUUAUUGUUUUUCCCAUUUUGUAGCUCUUUUUUAAAAUAUGUUUUGGCCUCAAAAAACAUCAAAAUGAGGCCGUUUCUACUGAGAGUUUUUCUAUAUGUUUGGCAAUAUGUUGUACUUCUUUUGUUCUCCAUUCAUUAAAAUGGAUUGAACCCUUAAUUAUAUAUUUAUGGGUUGAAAGCAUGAAAGAAUGUGCAGAGUCACUUGAUCAUUAAUUCAUUGCUAGCAAAAUGAGAUGAGAUAGUUUAUGAGCUUCGAGUCUCAUGAUUUGGCUCUCUAUGUUGCUAUGUAUUGCUUACCCCAAUUUUCAAAUAUUUGGAAUAUUAAAAUCUUACUUUAAGGAAGUUAGUUCCUCAAAAAAAAGUUUUUAAAGUGUUGUCCUCAAAUAUACUGAUAUGAUCUCUCAACAAUGAAAGAUAAAAGUUUUACCCUCUUUCUCCUUAUAGAGUCGUGUAUGGUUCAUAAAAGUAAAUGUCUUGACUGUACAUGGACAAACAGUUCCCACCAAGAGGCAACAUGAAUUGCCACAUAAAGUGGUGUCAUAUAUACCAAUAGGUGACCUAUAUACAAUAGAUCAGAGGUUCUAAUCCCACAAAAAGUAAAAUGCUACUAUCAUCUCUUGAUAGGCGAAUCAUUUAUGUUUCAUAUCCAACAUGAAUAUGUCUAGUUUUAUUUUAGAUUUUUUUUUUUCAUACGUUUGGACCAUUAAAACCCAACUCCAUUCAUGUCCAUAUACGAACAGAUAUAGAUACCAAGCAAUAAUUUUUUAUAAAAAUAAAUAUUUAUAGCAUAGAUUUAAACUUUCCUCCUCCUCAGAAUAAUUUGAAGCUUUCUAAAUUUAGAGAAAUUAUGCAUAUUUUCUUUCAUAAAGAUAUUCAGCCAUGUAACCGGUAGAGUUAUGAUAAGGUUAAAAUAGGCUCCAAUCCUUGUACUUUUUAUAAAUUUCAAAGUUAAUCCAUCUUACAUUUCAGAUUUGUCAAGACUUUUUAACGACAAUUAAACUUACAUUUUUUAAAUCUGAAAACUGACUAAAUUCCUUAAAAGUAGUAUUCAAAAACUAGAAUUUUAAAAUUUAGAUUUAGACUUCAAAAUUGUAUAUAUUGAUGUAACAUUCAUAAUACUUUCUUAAACCCUUGGAGACUUGGUUAGUAAUGAUUUUGAAAUCCUGAAAAAUAAUUUUGGAUUUGACAAAUCCAUGUUUUUAUACAUUUUUAACAAAUAUUAGAACUAAUAUAUGCAUUUCAUUCUCACCAUUUCCAUAUUAAAGAAAAUCCAAAUGCAAAUUUUCAAGGAGAUGUUAACCUUAAUCAUAAGAAGGAUUUUGAUUCUCAAUAAUUCUCCAGGAUACCAUUACGCCUUGAAAUAUAAUAAUCAUCAACCAAAUCAUGAGAAAAAGAAAAAGGAUAAUAUGCAAAGUUAUAUAAUUUUGAAAAAAACAGGAUACAGAAAUUUUAAUGAGCCAACUUCAAACUAUCAGAUAACAAAAGGCAAAUGAACCAAAACCUCGUAAUCCCCUAAAUGUGAAUUGAAAUCGUACCAACAGAGGUUCUAGAUGAAGAGAAACUUCAAACAAAAAUGAAAAAUCUAAGAAAUUUGCUUCAAUAGAAGAAACCAAGUACUUUUCCACCAACAUUCUUUCUUCUAGCUUCUUCAUGGUCCAUGAUGCCAGCAGAUGUGGUAAGCACGAUAUAUCCAAACUGCAAUAAGAAGACACAUAGAUCCCAUAAUAUUCUAUCUCAUUUGAACUGAUUGAACCUUCCAUUAACUUAUGUCACCCAUAAAAUCUUAUCUAGUGGACUAUGAGAAUAAAUGCAAGACAUGUCACUCGACCAAAUCAAAGUGUGCUUCCACCCAUAUAUGAUAGCAUAAAUCAAAAGUGUCCAAGCUAACCUGUCUGGAAGGAAGUAGCCUAGCGGUCCAACCCUCGAUCUCUUUGACACCGACAUCAAAACGAGGACUAAUCACCCCACACUUGUUGAGUCUCCCAUUGAGUUCAACCACAAUCUUGCCAGCUCUGUGAUCAUCAACAUACUCAAACUCUCCAAUGUAACCUAAAAAAUGGGAAUCAAAAGGUUAAAUGUAUCAGCAUUUUCGUAUCAAUUAUAGAUUUUUUUUUUUUAAAAAGAAAUGUCGGAGAGCAAACCAUGCUUUUGCAUGACCAAAAGGAAUUUGAUGAUGACUUUUGAGGAAGGCCUGAUCAUAACCUGUCGUUUGCCCCUCUUUUCUGCAUUAUACAUGCUCUUGAGUGCAUCGUUCAAAACGCUGACUCUCACCAUUCUUCCAAAUCCAAGUUGCUGCAAAAUCAGAUUUAAAAAACCAAGCAGCUCAUUAUUGUAACUUGUAAACAUUAAUUUCUCACAACCACACCUCUUCCUAUUCUCUUACAUCAUUCAAACCAAAACUCAAUUUUGUUUUGCUGAUAUUAAAAUUAUUCUAACCAUAAGAACAUGUAGAAACAACUGAUACUUUCUCAGAAGACAACAAAAAAAAAAUCUUAUCAGUUUGGUUUUUGGGUAGAGAAAAUCAAAUAAAAACCAUAAAGAGAUGUUGGAUCUAAAGUUGGAAAGGAAAACAAAAGUUUACCUGGAACCAAAAAUGGCGGCCGCGUCUCCGUGUAGUUUGAGAAGAGUGAAAAGAGUUGAAGAGAAUGUAUGUUUCUAGGGCUGGAAGUUGGCAGUUGAGUUUAAAGUGGAGCAUGUAAUCUAAACUCUAUUUAGGCCCAUUCAGAUGUUUCAAAAACCCAAGUCCGAUUAUACUCCACCCCACCUACUAUUUCAUCUAUGGAUAUAAUCCAGCAUUUCAAAAAAAAAACAAAAAACAAAACAAAACUAAUAUAUAUUUUUAAAAUAAUAUAUAAUAAUAUAAUAAUACUUUUAUAUAAUAAUAAAAAAUCUCUCUCAUUUUCGAUAUUUAUUAGUAAACUCAUCUCUCCCAGAAAAAUCAAAUUAUCCUAUGCGGUGAAGGAAAAUUUAUAUUAAUAAUAAAAUAUCAAUGUAUUCGUAAUUUAAAUUUUAAUAACUAAUUUUCAUGUAAGAAAAACUAAAACAAAUUAGGAUUUUACUAUGCAUUUAGGGUUCAAUAAGAAUGUGUCCCUUCAUAUUUAAAAAAAAAAAUUAAAACACUAAAUUAUUUUUUCUUAAUAAUAUCUUAACCCUAAUUAAAUAAAUUUAACAAGUAAUAAUAGUAAUGCAGUGGUUAUGGGUUUGUUUUGUUUUCAACUAGAUUUAUGAUUUUAUGAAAAGGGUGAUGUUAGGAUUUAGGGUUUAAAAGAAUCAAAGAUUUUAAGAUCUAAGGUUUAGAGUUUUAAAAUUUUAUUUAAAAAAUAGAUUGAUUUAUUAGUUUUAGAGUUAAAAAUAGUCAUAAGAGUUAAUUUAAUGUUUCUUGAUGUAUUAUAUUAUUCACAUACUCUAAAAAAAUAUGAUGUUGCAUGAUAUUAUUGUAUGCUUAAAAAAUGAUUUUUUUAGGAUAAUAUUUAUUCCAUUUUCUUUCUUCUUAUUCUUUUCUUUUAUAUCUUAAAUUAAUUUCAGGUUUAACCUUUCUCUCACCACCACCAUAAUAGGCAACUUCUCCAUUCAAUUUCCUUUUAAAACAAUCUUUUUUUUUCUUCCUUAAUUUUCUCAACAAUAAGUUAAGAACAAAAGGGGGGAAAUAUGGUAUGGUAUCAAUGUGAGGAUUGCGGUGACAACUUGAAGAAACCCAAGCCACCAAACUACUUUAAGAAUUUGCUCUGCUUCAAAGGUUUUAUUUAC